Homo sapiens (human) is the source of this 240-nucleotide long non-coding RNA. The record is from Ensembl. Lineage: Eukaryota; Metazoa; Chordata; Mammalia; Primates; Hominidae.
CUGUUAGUGCCUUUUAUUUUCUCAGUGAUAGGACAUGCCCUUGGAAACACUCCUCAGAAUACAUAUGAGUGCUACUAACAUAUCACAUCCUGCUGCCUCUAAUUUAAAGUGUCUGUGAAACUGUUGUCUGAAAUGCCCUUAGCAGGUUACAAUUUCACACACUGACUACAGACAGGCAGCGUAUGCAGCAGAUGUACAGCUGGGCAAUGAUGAUGGUAAAUAAAAUUUUUAUAAUUCAAA